AUUUUGGGUUGGUUCAUGCAUUUGACUGGGUUAUUUUUUUCUCCUUGUUGGUUGCUUCAAGGAAACAGAUUCGUUGGGCAUCUCUGUAACCUCCCAUCCCUGAUACUUUCAAGACGACUUAAGAGGCCUCCACACUCACAGGCUUGCGUGAGUUUGUGACUUCACAGAGGAUGUGACAGAGGGAGAAAGGGUUUACCUUGCCUGGCACACAACUGCUAGCUUCAAAUCCCUGUUACACAUUCUCUUCUACAAAGACCCUUUCUGGUCAUGGCCCCACAAAGUGUUUUUCUCUUUGCCUUCUCCUAAGAAGACCUUAGACUCAUGACCUUUGCUCUCCCUCUGGGAUUCCCGGCUCCACUCCAAACUUGCACACCCAAACCUGUGCGGGUGCUCAGCAGGACAAAGGCCCUCCACCGUGACGGUCAGUUGUACAGCACAGCUGGCUGCCUCUUACACGGACCAUGGCUACUGGUGCUGAGCAGGCACUGUGCUGGCUCUAGUGACCCGGGGCGUUUGCCAGUAGGCAGAGCUAGAUACAUCAGCAACCACCAAGGACGAGGGUGGCAUUCGAUGUCUUCCUGGCGGAUGCUGUGUGACGCUGAUGGGCCUGCCCUAACCCCCUCCUCCCCCAACACUGCCCUCUCUCUCACCUCCGUGGCAUGUCUUAAGAACUCCUGAAGAUGUCACAUAAGGUAAAUGCCAUGUUGUCUGCAAGGAGGUGGACCUUACGGGAGCAUUAGAACUAAUCAACAAGAAGAAAGGAGGCUGGAGGCCUCUUCUUUAGGGAAGAUAUUCUGUCUCCAAUAAAGGUGAAGAAUCUGCAGGAGUGGGGAAUGGAGAAGCGAAGAGAAAUCCUUCUAUGUACCAGAUGUGUCCUGACAUGUCAUGUGUCUGAUUCUCCACAAAGCUCCAAGGCAAAUUAAAUGUGCCUGACGAACAAGAAGUGGGCGUGGCUGUGAGUGCUGCGGCUAGAGGGCGCUGUCAGCCCGCAUCACAAUUAAACUGAAAUGGUCCCCAAACGAAAAUGUCUGACUCUUGGCCAGACGUGUUGGUUAACUUGAUUCCAUGCCCGUCGUCUACAGUUGUACAGUGCAGACAUCCAAACAGUUAUUCUAUUGGCCCCAGGAACAGUGAUGCACUUAAGCUUUUAAUUUGCUUGAUAGCAUUGCAGCCUUUCUA
Molecule: long non-coding RNA, 1179 nt
Filed under: Equus caballus (horse)
Lineage: Eukaryota; Metazoa; Chordata; Mammalia; Perissodactyla; Equidae
Description: lncRNA (ENSECAG00000044711.1)
Source: RNAcentral